Molecule: long non-coding RNA, 904 nt
Organism: Poecilia latipinna (sailfin molly)
Lineage: Eukaryota; Metazoa; Chordata; Actinopteri; Cyprinodontiformes; Poeciliidae
Exons: 4
Source: RefSeq, a predicted model, not a curated record
CAUCAAACAUUGACAGUUUAGUGUGACAGAGAUGCUACAACAAAAACAAUACUUGUCCUUAACACUAAAUGUAGCAGGUAUCUUCAGUUUUACAUUGCUCCGAAUAUGAUCUAUUGUUUUCAGUUGUUAACUAAAAUACGGAAGCUGUCUUUACCCAAUCCAUUUUCAGAUAUAUGAUGUAAGAUCUAUCAUUGAAUGACAUUAGCUCCAGUUUACACUCCAGACUAGAUGGUGGCGGUGUUGCACACUUUCAGUUUUUUUGAAAAGCGCCAUAAAAAGACGAACAGCAUCAUCAUGAAGCCAGGAAGAAGAAUUAAUGUUCAAAUUCGCCAUUUUUACUCACAUAAUAUAGCCUUAAAAGUAAAAAGACCAUUGAUAAUAGUUAGGAGUUUUGGUAAAUUCAAGCUGGUACCUCCCACUUUGAAUUGGGCAAAAACACACCUGGACAAGAACCAGAUGGAAAUGAAAUGUGGGUCACAAAAGGAGACCGAAGGGACCAAGGCUGCUAACGUGUUGCUAGCUGGUGUCUAAACAAAUGAAGAUGAAAGAAGAAGCCACAGAAAUCAGAUGUUAGGAAACCUAAAGACUUUCCUGUCUCAGAAGAGGCUCUGGCUCCACCAGAUCACCAACCAGCUCUGAGGAUGAACCUCCACAUCGUCUUCAUGGUGGCCCUGUGAUGGACCGGUGACCUGUCCAGGGUGAACCCCGCCUCUCAUCUGAUGGCUGCUGGAGAUGGGCACCACCAGCCCCCCUCACUACCCUGCAAGGAUCAGCGUGUUCAUAUCAUGGAUGGAAAGAUUUUAAGGCAAAGAAGACACCCAGAAAUGUCUUUCCACUCCAGUCAUACGUUCCCAAUCAUCAUCAUUUCUGAUGAUGUCACAUACAUGGCGAGUCCACAUCGUCU